GAUGAAGAACGUAGCGAAAUGCGAUAAGUAAUGUGAAUUGCAGAAUUCAGUGAAUCAUCGAAUCUUUGAACGCACAUUGCGCCCCCCGGUAUUCCGGGGGGCAUGCCUGUUCGAGCGUCAUUUCACCACUCAAGCCUCGCUUGGUAUUGGGCAACGCGGUCCGCCGCGUGCCUCAAAUCGACCGGCUGGGUCUUCUGUCCCCUAAGCGUUGUGGAAACUAUUCGCUAAAGGGUGUUCGGGAGGCUACGCCGUAAAACAACCCCAUUUCUAAGGUUGACCUCGGAUCAGGUAGGGAUACCCGCUGAACUUAAGCAUAUCAAUAAGCGGAGGA
RNAcentral lists this unclassified non-coding RNA (331 nucleotides) under soil metagenome. RNAcentral describes it as "partial contains 5.8S ribosomal RNA, internal transcribed spacer 2, and large subunit ribosomal RNA". The stretch from base 1 to 120 matches the Rfam family "5.8S ribosomal RNA", at positions 35 to 154 of the family's 154-position model. The record is from RNAcentral.